GGCGCACGGGUGCGUAACACGUAUGCAACCUACCUUUAACUGGGGUAUAGCUCAGAGAAAUCUGAAUUAAUCCCCCAUAACACUACGACAUGGCAUCAUGAUGUAGUUAAAGCUCCGGCGGUUAAGGAUGGGCAUGCGGUACAUUAGCUAGUUGGUGAGGUAAUGGCUCACCAAGGCUACGAUGUAUAGGGGGUCUGAGAGGAUGAUCCCCCACACUGGUACUGAGACACGGACCAGACUCCUACGGGAGGCAGCAGUAGGGAAUAUUGGUCAAUGGACGAAAGUCUGAACCAGCCAUGCCGCGUGAAGGAUGAAGGCCCUCUGGGUCGUAAACUUCUUUUAUUAGGGAAGAAACCUCAGGAUGCGUCCUGAGCUGACGGUACUUAAUGAAUAAGGAUCGGCUAACUUCGUGCCAGCAGCCGCGGUAAGACGAAGGAUCCAAGCGUUGUCCGGAUUUACUGGGUUUAAAGGGUGCGUAGGCGGAAAAUUAAGUCAGUGGUGAAAGCCCGCAGCUCAACUGUGGAACUGCCAUUGAAACUGGUUUUCUUGAAUAUAGCUGAGGCAGAUGGAAUAUAACAUGUAGCGGUGAAAUGCUUAGAUAUGUUAUAGAACACCGAUUGCGAAGGCAGUCUGCUAAACUAUUAUUGACGCUGAGGCACGAAAGCGUGGGGAGCGAACAGGAUUAGAUACCCUGGUAGUCCACGCCCUAAACGUUGAUUACUCGCUGUUGGCGAUAUACUGUC
This 743-nucleotide ribosomal RNA is filed under the name uncultured bacterium. RNAcentral's name for it is "bacterial SSU rRNA". It matches the Rfam family "Bacterial small subunit ribosomal RNA", at positions 97 to 838 of the family's 1533-position model. The record is from RNAcentral.